RNAcentral lists this ribosomal RNA (253 nucleotides) under uncultured bacterium. Its description in RNAcentral is "partial 16S ribosomal RNA". It matches the Rfam family "Bacterial small subunit ribosomal RNA", at positions 524 to 776 of the family's 1533-position model. The record is from RNAcentral.
UACGAGGGGGGCAAAUGUUGUCCGGAAUUAUUGGGCGUAAAGAGCUCGUAGGCGGCUUGUCGCGUCGGCUGUGAAAACCUGGGGCUCAACCCCGGGCCUGCAGCCGAUACGGGCAAGCUAGAAUUCGGUAGGGGAGACUGGAAUUCCUGGUGUAGCGGUGAAAUGCGCAGAUAUCAGGAGGAACACCGGUGGCGAAGGCGGCAUCCUGGACCGGCAUUGACGCUGAGGCGCGAAAGCCAGGGGAGCAAACGGG